UACGUAGGGUGCAAGCGUUUGUCCGGAUUUAUUGGGUUUAAAGGGUGCGUAGGCGGCCCUGUAAGUCAGUGCUGAAAUACCCCGGCUUAACCGGGGGGGUGGCAUUGAUACUGCAGGGCUUGAGUACAGAUGAGGUAGGCGGAAUUGACGGUGUAGCGGUGAAAUGCGUAGAUAUCAGGAGGAACACCUGCGGUGUAGACGGCUUUCUGGACCAUUGUUGACGCUGAGACACGAAAGCGUGGGUAGCAAACAGG
This 254-nucleotide ribosomal RNA is filed under the name uncultured bacterium. Its description in RNAcentral is "partial 16S ribosomal RNA". It matches the Rfam family "Bacterial small subunit ribosomal RNA", at positions 524 to 776 of the family's 1533-position model. The record is from RNAcentral.